AUGCUGGCAGGGGCGAUACUAUCUAUGAUCACGAAGGUGGUUUCCCCAGGGCGAGGCUACCCAUUGCACUCCGGGUGUGCUGACCUCUGUGAUUUCUCCAAAUGUGGGAAACUCCACUGCGUAAUUUGUGGUAGUGGGGGACUGCAUUCGCCCUUUCCCCAU
Small nuclear RNA from Suncus etruscus (white-toothed pygmy shrew), 162 nucleotides. RefSeq annotates it as U1 spliceosomal RNA. The record is from RefSeq and is a predicted model, not a curated record. The transcript has a single exon. NCBI's taxonomy places the organism in Eukaryota, Metazoa, Chordata, Mammalia, Eulipotyphla, Soricidae.